GAUGAACGCUGGCGGCGUGCCUAACACAUGCAAGUCGAACGAAGCACCUUACCUGAUUCUUCGGAUGAAAGUUUGGUGACUGAGUGGCGGACGGGUGAGUAACGCGUGGGUAACCUGCCCUGUACAGGGGGAUAACAGCUGGAAACGGCUGCUAAUACCGCAUAAGCGCACGAGGAGACAUCUCCUUGUGUGAAAAACUCCGGUGGUACAGGAUGGGCCCGCGUCUGAUUAGCUGGUUGGCAGGGUAACGGCCUACCAAGGCAACGAUCAGUAGCCGGUCUGAGAGGAUGAACGGCCACAUUGGAACUGAGGCACGGUCCAAACUCCUACGGGAGGCAGCAGUGGGGAAUAUUGCACAAUGGGGGAAACCCUGAUGCAGCAACGCCGCGUGAGUGAAGAAGUAUUUCGGUAUGUAAAGCUCUAUCAGCAGGGAAGAUAAUGACGGUACCUGACUAAGAAGCUCCGGCUAAAUACGUG
This 477-nucleotide ribosomal RNA is filed under the name uncultured bacterium. RNAcentral describes it as "partial 16S ribosomal RNA". It matches the Rfam family "Bacterial small subunit ribosomal RNA", at positions 28 to 507 of the family's 1533-position model. The record is from RNAcentral.